Lycium barbarum (goji berry) is the source of this 12457-nucleotide long non-coding RNA. RefSeq lists it as uncharacterized. The transcript is spliced from 3 exons. Lineage: Eukaryota; Viridiplantae; Streptophyta; Magnoliopsida; Solanales; Solanaceae. The record is from RefSeq and is a predicted model, not a curated record.
AACUCAGCCGCCACUUCCCAAAAAUCUAGAGAUUACACAAAAUGAUAACCAUAAUCAGCCGUAGUGAAUACAUACAAAAUCUUCAUCUUCUUCAAUUUUAAGAAGAAAAGCAGCAGCUCCAUCAAACACCAAGCACACAAGCAUACAAUCUUCAUCUUGUUUGGGUUUAUUUUCGGUUGAGGUCGAGGUCCGCGAAUCAACGCUCCCGUCGGCGUCGAAUUCGAGUUGCAGCAACUCAUUUUUGUACGUUAGCAUGUAGUUUCCUUGGUCUCUAUUUAAUGGAAGAAAGUUUCAGCUUAUAAAGGUCCAAUCUUUACCUUUAUUCAGUUUAUUCUGUUAAACCUGAGAUGUGAUUUUAUUUUUUGGUGAUACGAUUUUGUCCAUGAAUUUUAUGAGUAGUCUUUGAUGUUUGUUGAUGACUAAAUAGCUGAAGGUAAAUGUCUUAUUUAGCUGGAAUUUAAUUGCUCAAUUUACAUAGAUUUGAGUUAUUUACUGUGACCGUGAUUUAAGAGUACGCCAAAACGAAUCACUGUUUAUUGGCCCAUUUAAUUAGUACUAUUUUAUUUCCAAGAUUCCUACAUGGAUUAUUGGUUAGUCCAUCAUCUUUGAUUUCAUAAGUGUUAUAUAUCAUAUGUUUUAUUCCAUGGAAUAUAUAUCUCACGUCACUGGUAGCUAUUAAAUUAGUAAGUCAUAUUAAGUUUAUUAGUAAUAUCAAGUUGGUCACUCCAUUUCAUUUGAUUUUGUUUGUUUGGUGACCUGUAAAUUUGAUUAUGUUUAGUUAGUACUUGUUUAAGUAAGAAACCGAGCAAACACGGAUUUGGACUAGCUUUGGUCACAUUUUGUGUCGCUAUCUUAUAUUGAAUAAUUCUUUUGCCAUGUUUGUAUAUACGUCUGAGUACUAAAAUUUUAGGGCGCACACCUAAAUUGAAGGCCUGAUUGAUUAUUUAAAUGUGAGAUGAGCGAGAUGGGGUGUGAAUUAUUUCAAAUUCCAUUGUCAAUUAUAAAAAAGAGUGGUAAAACCAAUUGUAAGGGAGCAGGAUGGGUUGCGAAUUUAUUCAAAACCCGUUAUUAAAAGAGUGAAAAUUAAUAAUAACCAAAUAGUUUUAAGUCUCAGAUUUUAGAGACAAAUAAUUGCCUUUAACGCUAGACGAGCUUUAGGCACGUUUUAAGAUGUUUGUUUCGAUGAAGAAUGCGGUUACGCAUCUUAUUUCGAGACAUUUUUUUAAUAACUCAAGGAUGCGGUUACGCACCUUGGCUAAAUUCGUUUUAAUAAUUAAUCUUGCUUCGAGUAAGAAUGCAGUUAUGCAUCUUAUUUUGAGACGCUUAAAAGAUCCGGAAUGCGGUUACGCAUCCGAGUUAAACCCAAUAAAUGUUCAACAAUAAAAGCACGAGCAAAUCAAGGCUCGGGAACAUAAUUUAUCCAAAAUAGUUUAAGCUAAGUAUAAGUCGAUAAAGCGACCGUGCUAGAACCACGGGACUCGGGGAAUGCCUAACACCUUCUCCCCGGUCAAUAGAAUUCCUUACUCGGUCUUCUGUUUUCGCGGACCAUAAUAAAAGAGUCAUUUCCUUUUGAUUAGGGAUUCAUAAGAUGACUUGGAACACCAAAACUCAAUUCCAAGUGGCGACUCUGUAAAUAAAAUAAUCCCUUUUCAAAACCGUCACUUCAAAUGGAAAAACCCUUUAAUAAUAAAAACUUGCGCGUUUAUAGCGCGGGGCGCAAAAAAGCGGUGUGACAGCUCUGGCGACUCUGCUGGGGACUAGCCAGAAUUCGAGCUUUGUGAUAUUGCCUUAUACUUGGCUUUUAUUAUUAAUAUUUGGAUUUGUAUUAUGUUUUUGGCCUAAUGUGCUAAUUGUCACUCAUUUACCGCUUUGAUAUUGUUGAAUUGUAUUAUAAAAUGCCUUCUCUCGCGCACCCUUCUGAGCCUCUGAAACACUUCACACACGGGCACAGGAAUGCAGUUAUGCAUCCUAACUUUCUGUCAAGAUAAAGCCAGAGCGUCUUGGUGCCCGGUGAAGGAUUUUAGUCACACGUGUUAGGCGGGACAGGAUAAGCAAUGAAGUCGGAAUAGCACUGCUACCGACAGUAUUGCCCCUCCCUGGCUCGAGUUGUCCGCUCGGGUGACCCAGUCUAGACACCUUUGCCAUUAGGUUUUAAACCUAGCAGAACUGAAACGCAGACAUGAUUAUCCCUAGUAUGAUCCGCUUAUAUGCAUCACUUGCAUUUGACUUAGUGGGACUCGGCACAGGGGUCGGGUCCGUCUAGGACAGGUAUCUCUUUAUCUGACCGACCUGUGCAUCUCAUGUGCUAUUUGCAAUAUUAUUUUUAAGGCUUGCUUGAUUAUUGAUCGGCUUUAGGCUAACUAGUGAAAUAGAAGAGAGAGAAGCAUUCAUCUGACUUUUUACGCACCCAUUUCCUUAAACCUCUAAUUUGUCUGGCUGUUGCUAAAAAUAAGAAAAGAAGAGUUCAACUCGAGACGAGUUUAUUUAUUUAUUUUUAAUAUUUAUUUUUAAAGACAACUCAAUAGUCCAAUCUGGACGAACUACGCACACCUGAUUCCCGUCCCUCGGGGCGACGAUACGUAGGCAGCCCAUAUCGGGUUCGGUGGUCCUUAUUCAAAAAAAUUUAAAAAAAAGUGUUUUUAUUUUGUAUUAGAAAAUCCGAAAAAUAAAGGAGAUAGUUUUAUAAAAAAAUAAUAAUAAUAAUAAUAAUAAUAAAAGGGGGAGAUUCCUUUUAACGCCCUAUCCAAAAGAAAAAGGAAAACGCAAAAAGAUUUUACUUCGAGUAGUAUUUUUAGCGGGGUUUCUUUGGAGGAAAUUUUACAAUCAAAAUCCAAAAAAGAUUUUUUUUUGUUUUCAAGUUUUUGUAGUUUUUUUUCUCUUCCUAGAUUUCAAAAAAAAAAAAAAAAAAAAAAAGAAAGAGAAAAUUCGAAAUAAUUUUGUUGAUUACUUUUUGCCGAAACUUCCCGAACUACGCAAAGAUCUGAUUCAUGUCCCAGCAUGAUACGUAGGCAACUCAAGUCGGGUUCGAUCGAAUUAUUUUCAAAAAAAUCCAAAAAGAGUAUUGAAAGAGCGAAGAAUAAAAAAGAGUGAAAAGAAAAAAAGAGAUAAUCAUAAAAAGAAAAAAAAGAUGAGUGAAUCGAGAGGUAUGGAAAGAAAAAAAUGAAAGAGAGGAAGGCCAAAUCGAACGAAAAUGGGGAUGAUGCCAAAAUCACAUUGUUACCCUUAGAAUCAUUCUAGAACUAAUAAUCGUGCAUAUGUGACUUGCGCGCGGUUCCCUAACUCAAUCAUUUUUAUUCAUGAUGUUUGAUUUUAGAAGGUGGUUGGUUUGUGGUUUUAAAACUGGCGACUCAUCCUUACAACACAAGGUCGAAAACCAAAAAGGCAAUGGCGACCAACGAGGACACUUGGUUGGUUGACGCUAGCGCUCAAACACCAUUGGUUGACCAAAACUCGAGGUUAGCCGAAGAAGUGAGAAUGUUAAAACAACACAUGGCAAGCAUGUAUCGGGCUUGGAUGACUGGUCAGGCACCACCUCCACCGCCACCUGGCUUCCUCGACAUUUUCCCUAAUAUGCCGACCUCAACCCGAGCUCCACUCACUGUGCCUGGUGAUCCAUCUAACAGUGGACCCUUGUUCAAAACCCCUGAUGCUCAACCCUAUACUCUAGAACCGACUUUAAAUAUCUCUAACCCAUACGGUUAUAACCCUCACCUUGAGCCUCCCAUUAACAGUGAAAAACUUAAUAAGACCGUGGAUGAUGAGGAAAUGACUAGAAAGAUGAAAAACUUAGAGCAAUCCAUAAGAUACUUGCAAGGUCAGGAAGGUCAUAAGAGUGUUUGCAUGCAAAGACUUGUGCAUGUUUCCUAAUGUUCACUUGCUCUCUGGUUUUAAGACUCCAAAGUUUGACAAGUAUGAUGGGCAUGGUGAUCCUGUGGCCCAUUUGAAGAGGUAUUGCAAUCAGUUGAGAGGAGCUGGAGGUAAGGACGAAAUGCUUAUGACCUACUUUAGUGAUAGCUUAACAGGAGUAGCCUCGAAUUGGUUCAGUGAUCAGGAUGCCAUUAAGUGGCCUAUUUGGGAUGACAUGGCUCAAGAGUUUGUGCGACAAUUUCAGUAUAAUAUAGACAUUGCUCCAGAUAAAAUGUCCAUAACCAAGGUGCAGAAGAAAUCUACAGAAAGUUUUAGGGAAUUCUCCAUUAGGUGGAGAGAGCAGGCUGCUAGAGUAAAGCCUCCAAUGGCAGAAGGUGAGGUGGUGGAUACUUUUCUCCAAGCCCAAACUGAAGAAUACUAUCAACACAUGCUCCCAGCACUGGGCAAACUGUUCAUUGAGGUCAUUAAGAUGGGGGAAAUGAUAGAAGAUGGAAUCAAAACAGGACAUAUCAUGAGUUUUGCUGACAUGACAUUAAAUGCUAAAGUAACUCAAAAUGGUUUAGGAAGCCUGAGCGACAUGAGGGAAAAUGAUGAUGUAGCCAUGAUUAUACCAGAAGCGCGACGAGGUGUGAGCGGUCCAUCUCGCUCAUAUACCUAACCACAACCUCAAGUCUAUUCCCAAACUCCAUACGCUCAACCUCAACAUUACUUUCUUCCACAAGACCCUCAAUAUUGCAUGUCACCUCUCCAACACUUUGCCUGUGCUGCACAGCCAUAUGUUCAACCAUAUCCUUACCAACAAUGGUGUGCACCAGCUCCACAGGUUUCUUACCCCCCACAAGCAUAUCGACCUCGUACCAGCUCCAACUUUCGACCUAGGCCGGAAUACAAGAAAGAGAGGCAACAGAGAAGGGAGGCCUCUAGAAAACUUCCCGGGCUAUCAGUCUCAGUUUCAGAAGUUGAUAAGGAUGAAUUGGUUAAAGGGACCCAGAACUUAUUUGCUGAGAAUAAUCUGAUUGAAAAUGAUAAUGGUUCAAGUAAUGCUUAUGUGCAACUUAGUGGCUAAGAUGACAGCUUUGCAGUUGGGAAGUCACUCCUCUCCCCUCUAGGAAGGAGUCUUGGUAGUUUGUUUUGAUGUUCUUUCUGUUAUCCGGGUUAUUCUAGGGUUGUAAUCUAGAAAUGUUUUGCUUGUUUUAAUGUCCACAACCCUUCUAUCAUUUUGUUUAUUAAAAAAAAAAGUUUUUGUUUUGUCAUUUCCUAGUAUGUCUUCUUUAGUUUUUCUUUUGUACAGUUCUUUUCAGGCUGAUUCUAGUGACAUGAUAUGCAUGUGGAUAUUUUUAGCCAGAUCUUGAAGGCCAGUUUAAUUACUAAAGAAAUGCACCCAAAAGAUUGAAAAUGGUGAAGAAAAACAUGUGAGGAAAUAUUAGAGUGCCGAAACAUUUUGAGAGUAAGUUGAAGUCUGGCUUGAAUGAAACUAAUACGAUCACUUUGGGAAUCAUGAGAAUGACACUAGUGUAUAACAAAAUGUUGAUCCCAAGUGAUUUGAAGUGGGUCAAUAUCAAGAGAAGUCAAAAAGCAAGUGCCCUCCAAUUGACUUGAGUCAUCCAUUGUAAAGAUAUACCGUAUGAUUUUCACUUCUCAUUCUCGAAUCGCAUGCUUUGUACUUGACAUUUUAAAGGAUUGAUAUGACGAAGGCAUUUCAUUCUGCUAUUUGAACAUUGUGUCACCCUUUGCUAGCCCUUUUGAGCCUUAUUUUUAUUUUCUUUCGUAUCCCUCUUUUGGAAUCAAAGUACAGUACAAAAAAAGAGUCGGAAGAGAAAAAGUGAAAAGAGUUGAAAGAAAAAAAAACGAAGAAAAACACACAAGAAAUGAGCUGCCGGAACUACGUCUGACCUGAUUCUUGUCUCGACAGGAUACGUAGGCAACCCUAUUCUGGGGUUCGGUCCAACCCAAAUAAGAUUCGAAAUUUCCCGUUUCAAAGAAACUGGGACAGAAGUUAUUUUUCCUUUUGAGUCGAUUCCAAAAGUUGUAAGUCUCACCCCUAUUAUUUUUGUGUUGUCUUCGAGCCUUCACGCCAUCCUUUCUUUUCAACCCUAUCCAAAGCCACGUUACAACCAAAGAAAAGACCUUCAGAUCAAUCAUUGAAUGUCAAGGCUGAGCACGCUAUGAGUACAAAAAAUUUGCUAACGUUCAUCACCUGUCUUCGUAAGCAUAAGGGAAGUGGAAGAAGAGAAUGAAAAUGAGAGAGUCUUACUGGUGAAAGCCUUCACAGGCACCAUAAGGCAAUAAAGAUCUGAGAGAAAUGAAAAUGAGAGUCUCUCACUGGUGAAAACCUUCACAGGCGCCAUGAGUCGACGGUGAGUUGAGAGAAUGAAAAUGAGAGAGUCUUACCAGUGAAAACCUUCACAGGCACCAUAAGGCAAUAAAGAUUUGAGAGAAAUGAAAAUGAGAGUCUCUCACUGGUGAAAACUUUCACAGGCACCAUAAGUCGACGGUGAGUUGAGAGAAUGAAAAUGAGAGAGUCUUACCGGUGAAAACCUUCAUAGGCACCAUAAGGCGACGGUGAGUUGAGAGAAUGAAAAUGAGAGAGUCUUAUUAGUGAAAACCCUCAUGGGCACCGUAAGGCGAUGGUAAGAUGAGAGACAAAUAAAAGAGAGAGGUUUAGUGAUAAAAACACUUCGGAGCGCCACUAGCCGAAUGAGAGUCUAGAGCCUGUUAAAUAGGUUGGGAUAUGAAGCCUUGAUUUCAAAACAAGUGUGAGAGCACAACGGGAGUUAAAGAAUAGAUUGAUUGAACAGAUUAGGCCGCUCAAUCCAAAAUGCAUGUCAUGACCAUUGGAGCCAGCGACCACAUUCAGAUAAGUGUCUUCUUUUCUUUUCUCCUAAUAAGGGACAUUUCCACUUCUACAUCUUUUUACUUCUUUUGUUUUGUUUUGUUGAGUCUUCCAUGUAGAACGGGUAGAGAAAGGAUUUCAAAACUUGCUACCAGCUUUUCCAAUUGUGAAGCAAAAUAUCUGGCUAGCACAUGAAGGUAACAUAAUUCAGUCGGCGUAAGGUACUCAACCAGCUGUCGACCGUUAAUAGGUUCUGGAUUCAGUGAAAUACAAGGUUCAAUAAAGUUUGAGUUAACGGACAUUAUGAAACAAGAGAUUUAUGGUUUGGUGUUGAAGUUACUUCUGAGACAUUUUGGCAACCAUGUUUGAGUCAGUAAUACCGUGGGUCAAUAGGAUGCGAUAAUUGUCUAAAAGCGGAGCCAAACAUGAUGAGGGCAAAAGCAGUUGCUUUCACAGCCAAGCCACAAACCAACUACCAUGCUUUUAAACUCACAAAUUCUAUUCGUUUGAAACAAGGAAUGGGUGUUAUCUUCAAAUCAGAGGCUUCAGAGCCCGAAUAUUCGAAUGGCGUAUUUCCUCAAAUUGCCAACACCAAAGGCAAUGGCACAACAUAGGUUUGCAAGCAACAAAAUUAAUCAAUUUUUCAAUUAUUUAUAUUGUAACCCCAAGGAGACGCACUUCCUAGCCUGGGUCUUUCACAUUUUGUUGUUAGGAGACGCACUUCCUAAUUUAACCUUUACUCCUAGGAGACGCACUUUCUAGUCAGAGUUUUUCGAUUUUAACCCUAAGAGACACACUUCUUAGUUUGGGUCUUUCAGGUUUUUUUUUCUUUUAGGAGACGCAUUUCUUAUUUUGGGUCUUUCAGGUUUUUCUUUUAGGAGACGCACUUCCUAAAUUGAACCAUUACUCCCAGGAGACGCACUUCCUAGUUAGAAUUUUCAGUUUUACCUCUAGGAGACGCACUUCCUAGUUAGAGCAUUUGAUUUUACUUACAUCAUUGAAUUAGCUUACAGAGAGUUUAUGAUUUUGCUAACACUCACAAAAAUUUCCUAGUGCAAACUGGGGCAGAAAAUUUUGUUUGUAUUGUUUGUCUUUGAUGAUGUGCAGGACCUGCCUGAAGAAUGGGAAAUAAGUUAGAACCCACCUGAAGAAUGGGAACAAGCCAGGACCCGCCUGAAGAAUGGGAGCAAGCCAGGACCCGCCUGAAGAAUGGGAAGCAAGUCAGGACCCGCCUGAAGAAUGGGAAGCAAGUCAGGACCCGCCUGAAGAAUGGGAAGCAAGUCAGGACCCGCCUGAAGAAUGGGAAGCAAGUCAGGACCCGCCUGAAGAAUGGGAAGCAUGUCAGGACCCGCCUGAAGAAUGGGAAGCAAGUCAGGACCCGCCUGAAGAAUGGGAACAAAGUCAGGACCCGCCUGAAGAAUGGGAACAAGUCAGGACCCGCCUGAAGAAUGGGAACAAGUCAGGACCCGCCUGAAAAAUGGGAACAAGUCAGGACCCGCCUGAAGAAUGGGAAGAAAGUCAGGACCCGCCUGAAAAAUGGGAAGCAAGUCAGGACCCGCCUGAAGAAUGGGGAGCAAGUCAGGACCCGCCUGAAGAAUGGGAAGAAAGUCAGGACCCGCCUGAAGAAUGGGAAGCAAGUCAGGACCCGCCUGAACAGUGGGAAGCAAGUCAGGACCCGCCUGAACAAUGGGAAGAAAGUCAGGACCCGCCUGAAGAAUGAGAAGAAAGUCAGGACCCGCCUGAAGAAUGGGAAGCAAGUCAGGACCCGCCUGGAAAAUGGGAAGCAACCGCCUGAAAAAUGGGAGCAAGUCAGGACCCGCCUGAAGAAUGGGAUGAUCAGGAACCCGCCUGGAGAAUAGGGCCACCUUUUAAUUUCAAGUUCAGGAACCCGCCUGGAUAAUAGGGACAUCUCUCAAUUUCAUGUUCAGGAGCCCGCCUGAAGAAUAGGGUGUACUUUCAGUUAGAAGUAGCAGGAGCCCGCCUGAAUAUCAGGGUCAACAUUCAACUGCUUUUCAAUUUCAAGAUCAGGACCCCUCCGGAAGCAUGGAGUUUACUUUCAAGUUCAAUUCGAGAUCGAAGUGUUUAUCUCACACUUAGGAAAACAUGAAGAUUCGGGUCAAGAUUCAAGAGAAGCUCCAUAGCUAGGAUCCUAUGCUUGUAUUUUCUUUUUUUCACUUUUGUCUUUCAUUUGAUGUAAUAAUAGGACCGCGGACCAGAGCCUCGACAGGACCUCGCUCAACUAUUCACCUCAAUAUGUUUCAUCCCCUUCUUACUUUUGAACUACACGUGACCUGAUUCCCUUAUAACCCGGGAUAUGUAGGAUGCCCAAGACCAGGGCUCGGUCACAUUUUUGUGAUGUUCCUUUCUCUUCCUUCAAAUAAUGGUCGGGUCCAAAUUUGUCUCAUUGUCUACGUCUUUGUCUGAGAACGCUUCGCGUCCCCAACCAAAGAGGGACAUGCUGUAGACACGUAAUUUUUGACCCUCCCGGGAUGUUUCCAUUGGCUUAUUGAUUAAUUUUUCUUUUUAGUCUAAUCUUGGAUUUUAACUAUUAUUUCAUUUUUUGUAGGUUUGUUUGUGAAAAUGAAAGAAAAGGACAAAAAAUAUUCGCUAUUUCAAGGCAUAAGUUUUGUGUUUAAAAGAAAGAAAAAUUACAAAAAAUAGGUUUCUUUUAAUCUAGUUUUUCUAAGUUAAUUCUAUCUUUUGGUUUUUCCUUAGUCUAUUUAUUUAAUUUUUUUUCUUAGUUUUGGUUUAAAAAUAGUUGAUUAAUAUAUUUAUUUUGGUAUUUUAUACAUCCUUUUAAUGGAAAAGAAAAAUAAAAAUGGAACCAAUGGCCCGCCACUUGUCAAAAUUUCACCCUAUCCACACAAAAAAGGCACAAUUCAUUUUGGGAAGGGAAUAUUUCUUUCAUCCUUCAAGAUAUUUUUAUUCAUGUGGGCAUUUUGGGAAAAAUAAAAAAGGAAUAACACACUCAAAACCCUAGCCUAGACACCCUAUAAAUAUCUAAUUAUAGAAACCUAGAGACCGACCUGAUUUUCCACACAUUAGCCGCAUACUACACAAAAAAAAAAAAAAACUCAGCCGCCACUUCCCAAAAAUCUAGAGAUUACACAAAAUGAUAACCAUAAUCAGCCGUAGUGAAUACAUACAAAAUCUUCAUCUUCUUCAAUUUUAAGAAGAAAAGCAGCAGCUCCAUCAAACACCAAGCACACAAGCAUACAAUCUUCAUCUUGUUUGGGUUUAUUUUCGGUUGAGGUCGAGGUCCGCGAAUCAACGCUCCCGUCGGCGUCGAAUUCGAGUUGCAGCAACUCAUUUUUGUACGUUAGCAUGUAGUUUCCUUGGUCUCUAUUUAAUGGAAGAAAGUUUCAGCUUAUAAAGGUACCUUGAACACCACUAAUGAGGGGCUCAAUAACAAUAGGGUUGAUUGUCAUGGUGAAUGAAUCGAGAAGAACAAUCUAUAUAUUUGGCGAUGGAAGGGUAGUGACAUGUUAGAGAUGAUAGCGAUGACUGUCCAAAGAGAUGUUGUGUUUGAUGAUUUUGUGAACCUAAUCAUCACCUAUUGUGAAUUAACUUGUGAACCAAAAGAUCUUGCCAUCACUUACAUGCACCGCUCUUUUGAAAAUCAUAGGGUCUUACCAUUUAAGAUAACCGAUCAGGUUCAUUUGCAUGGUUAUUUGAAUGAUGUAGCUAGGCCAUUUUAAGGGUAUACGUCGUUGGAAGCCCGGUAGAGAACCAUAAUUUAUCUCAAGACCAAUAAGAUGUGUUAAAUAAUGAAUUGGAUGGGGGUGGAUGUUGAUAUCCUAGAUAAUGGAAAUGGGGCUGACCAGAUUUUUGUACCCGAACUUGCGAGCAAUACAGUGGGCACUGCAUAAUUAACACGGUCUAGCCAUGUUCAAGAUGAUGAAAUAGGUUUUUAUAAAGGAAUGUCAUUCAAGAACAAGGAAGCACUAGCAACUUCGUUGAAACUUGCUUGCUUGAAGAAAGUUUUAGAAUCAAGAAGGUGAUUAAUACUGUGUAUUGCUUCAGAUAUAUACAUCCGGAGUGCAAGUAGUGGCUGAGGGCUGUGAAUCUUUUAAGUUCUAACAUAUUUUGUAUCAGAACCUACAUAAAGCAUCACACAUGUGGUUCUCAGCACAUUACGAGCCAUAAUCCACACUCUACAGCGAAAGUCAUUAGUGAAUACUUCAAAGAUAGGUUUCCUGACCGUAAAGGCCCAUUUACAAAAGUUGUGAGCCACUCAAUCCGUACAGAACUGGGUUGUAAGGUAAGUUAUUGGAAGAUCUGGAAGGGCAUGGAGAUUGCAAAGGCUUUGACAUGGGGGACACAUGAGCACGGGUAUGCGGUGCUUGAUACGUACCAUUAUAUGCUUCGUUCUGCAAAUCCAGAAAGUAAGACGGCAUUGAAAGUUGAUGAAAACGGGAAGUUCAAGUACUUUUUUGUAGCCUAUAAGGCUUGGAUGCUUGGUUUUUCUCAAAUGAAAAAGUCAUAGUUGUCGAUGGCACAUUCUUAAGGAGCAAGUAUGAAGGAGUGUUGUUGUCAUCCGUCGCACAAGAUACGAAGAAUCAUAUUUUUCCAGUGGCAUUUUGUGUAGUGGACAAGAAGUGUGAUGCUUCGUACAAAUAUAUUUUUGAACAAAUGAGAAGCUAUGUAGAGGAUACCCCUCAGUUGUGCAUAAUUUCUGAUAGACAUCCAAGUAUCAAAAAGGCGGUUUCAAUUGUUUUCCUUACAUCUCAUUGUGGUUUUUGCUUGAGGCACUUUGGGGAAAAUCUGAGAACCACCUUGCACAAUGAGGUGGUUGUAUCUCAAUUUUAAAAGCAGCAAAAGCGUAUAAUAUUGAUGUAUUCAAUGAUCAUUUAAAUCAAAUCAGAGAUAUGGUUCCUGGGGCCGCCAAACAUCUUGAACAUGCUGGAUUCCAUAGAUGGAGCAGGGCAUUCUGCCCUGGAAAUAGGUAUAAUUUUAUGACGACAAACACUGCUGAGUCGAUGAACUCAAUGUUCAAUGUUGAAAGAAAAUUUCCUAUUACUACUCUAUUUGAUUCCAUGAACAGGAGGUUUGCUAAAAAAUUUAAUGAGAAGCGUAUGGAGUUCAUCGACUCACCAACCAUCUUUGUUCCCUCAAUGGAAAAAAAAUCAAAAUUUGUCAACUUGGGGAAUAAGUUAUUGGCCCAUCAAAUUGCCAACUAGAAGUUCAGCGACUUCCGUCACGGUUCAGUUGCAACAGUCGAUCUGCAAAGAAGGUCUUGUACUUGUAGAGUUUUUGACCUGGACAAAAUACCUUGUCCACAUGCUAUGACAGCGCUUCGAGUCUAAUAUGGUGAAGACUUUGGAAGGAGGAUUUAUGACUACUUAUCUCCAUAUUAUAAGGUGGAGAAUUACAUAAUUGCAUAUUGUGAGGAAAUGAAUCAUGUGCCUUCUGAAGAAUCUUGGGAAGUUCCUAUAGAGAUUUUAGAGAGAGAAAUACCUCCUCCAUAUGUUGAUCCGAGAAAACUGGCAAGAAGACGGACAAAAAGGAGGCGUGGAAUCGGGGAAUCAUUUCCAAUGGGGAAAAACAAAUGCUCCAUAUGCAAAACAGCUGGCCACAAAAAAACUACAUGCCCAAACCGAAAUGGUCCAUAGUUGUUAAUCUUGCAAUGUCUUGUAAUAAUAAUUACUAUUGUUGGUGUUUGUGAACCUAGAUUUUAUGACAUUUUUAUGUUCUUUCUUGUAAUGGAAAACUCUGUUGUUUGUGUUUGUGAACAUGGUUUAUAUGAUAUGCAGUGUU